This 253-nucleotide ribosomal RNA is filed under the name uncultured bacterium. RNAcentral describes it as "partial 16S ribosomal RNA". It matches the Rfam family "Bacterial small subunit ribosomal RNA", at positions 524 to 776 of the family's 1533-position model. The record is from RNAcentral.
CACGAACUGUGCAAACGUUAUUCGGAAUUACUGGGCUUGAAGCGUUCGUAGGCGGCUCGUUAAGUCGGAUGUGAAAUACCUCGUCUCAACCGAGGAAUUGCGUUCGAAACUGGCGGGCUCGAGUGAGAUAGAGGUGAGCGGAACUGAUGGUGGAGCGGUGAAAUGCGUUGAUAUCAUCAGGAACACCGGUUGCGAAAGCGGCUCACUGGGUCUUAACUGACGCUGAGGAACGAAAGCCAGGGGAGCGAACGGG